This 488-nucleotide ribosomal RNA is filed under the name uncultured bacterium. RNAcentral's name for it is "partial 16S ribosomal RNA". It matches the Rfam family "Bacterial small subunit ribosomal RNA", at positions 30 to 507 of the family's 1533-position model. The record is from RNAcentral.
AUUGAACGCUGGCGGCAGGCCUAACACAUGCAAGUCGAACGGUAGCACCGAGAGCUUGCUCUCGGGUGACGAGUGGCGGUCGGGUGCGUAAUGUCUGGGCAACUGCACGCCGGAGGGGGAUAACUACUGGAAACGGUAGUUAAUACCGCAUAAUGUCGCAAGACUAAAGAGGGGGCCCUUCGGGUCUCUUGCCAUCGGAUGUGCCCAGAUUGGAUUAGUUCGUUGGUGAGCUAAUGGCUCACCAAGGCGACGAUCCCUAGCUGGUCUGAGAGGCUGACCAGCUAGAUUGGAACUGAGGCACGGUACAGACUCUUACGGUGGGCAGCAGUGGGGAAUAUUGCGGAAUGGGCGCAAGCCUGAUGCAGCCAUGCCGCGUAUAUGAAGAAGGCCUUCGGGUGGUAAAGUGCUUUCAGCGGGGGGGAAGGCAAGGCGUUUAAUAAGCGUUUUGAUUGACGUUACCCGCAGAAGAAGCACCGGCUAACUCCGUG